Molecule: ribosomal RNA, 253 nt
Filed under: uncultured bacterium
Lineage: Bacteria
Description: partial 16S ribosomal RNA
Rfam family: Bacterial small subunit ribosomal RNA
Source: RNAcentral
UACAGAGGUGGCAAGCGUUGUUCGGAAUUACUGGGCGUAAAGGGCGCGUAGGCGGCCUUCUAAGUCAGACGUGAAAUCCCCCGGCUUAACCUGGGAACUGCGUCUGAUACUGGAAGGCUUGAGUGCGGGAGAGGGAUGUGGAAUUCCAGGUGUAGCGGUGAAAUGCGUAGAUAUCUGGAGGAACACCGGUGGCGAAGGCGGCAUCCUGGACCGAGAUUGACGCUGAUGCGCGAAAGCCAGGGGAGCAAACGGG